AUGGCCAUGGAAGAAUUGGAGGCCUCCAUGUUCCCCUCGACAGCAACAUUGUUCCGUUCAAGAAACAUCAUAGAGGGAGGGAAUCCUAGAACACCAGCACUGUGCCUUGCGGGGAGGGAGGGGGAAGGCCUGCCCUAUCUUCAUCGCUACCUGUCAAAGUCAUCUGCUCCAAACGCCCAGCUGGUCAUUCUUCUCCCACUGAAAACAAAGUCACCACUGGGUCCGGAGAAACAGAAGCACUGGAAUAAGGGCAGGGCUUCCUAUCCUCACCCGCCCUAG
This 279-nucleotide ribosomal RNA is filed under the name Triticum aestivum (bread wheat). RNAcentral describes it as "partial small subunit ribosomal RNA". Lineage: Eukaryota; Viridiplantae; Streptophyta; Magnoliopsida; Poales; Poaceae. The record is from RNAcentral.